ACUCUAAGCGGUGGAUCACUCGGCUCAUGGGUCGAUGAAGAACGCAGCAAACUGUGCGUCAUCGUGUGAACUGCAGGACACAUGAACAUCGACAUUUUGAACGCAUAUCGCAGUCCAUGCUGUUAUGUACUUUAAUUAAUUUUAUAGUGCUGCUUGGACUACAUAUGGUUGAGGGUUGUAAGACUAUGCUAAUUAAGUUGCUUAUAAAUUUUUAUAAGCAUAUGGUAUAUUAUUGGAUAAAUAUAAUAAUUUUUAUUCAUAAUAUUAAAAAAUAAAUGAAAAACAUUAUCUCACAUUUGAAUGUGAAAAACGAAGAGAAAUAUUUUCUUUUUCAAUCAAAUAAUACUGAGAAAUGUCUAGCAUAAAAAAUUGAAAUAUUUUUCAUCUAGAAUUGUCUCUUAUUAAUGAUUCGGAAAUAGAAAAAUCUUGGUUAUGUUAUUAUUCUUCGUUGGUUCGUUAAAAAUGGAUAAAUAAAAACUUUGCAUACAAGAAUUAAUAAAAAUGUUAUAACGAAUUUAAUUAAAUGUUUUAUCAUUAUAUAUAAAGAAUUUAUGGCAAGAUAAAGUUAUAUACAACCUCAACUCAUAUGGGACUACCCCCUGAAUUUAAGCAUAUUAAUUAGGGGAGGAAAAGAAACUAACAAGGAUUUUCUUAGUAGCGGCGAGCGAAAAGAAAACAGUUCAGCACUAAGUCACUUUGUCUAUAUGGCAAAUGUGAGAUGCAGUGUAUGGAGCGUCAAUAUUCUAGUAUGAGAAAUUAACGAUUUAAGUCCUUCUUAAAUGAGGCCAUUUACCCAUAGAGGGUGCCAGGCCCGUAUAACGUUAAUGAUUACUAGAUGAUGUUUCCAAAGAGUCGUGUUGCUUGAUAGUGCAGCACUAAGUGGGUGGUAAACUCCAUCUAAAACUAAAUAUAACCAUGAGACCGAUAGUAAACAAGUACCGUGAGGGAAAGUUGAAAAGAACUCUGAAUAGAGAGUUAAACAGUACGUGAAACUGCUUAGAGGUUAAGCCCGAUGAACCUGAAUAUCCGUUAUGGAAAAUUCAUCAUUAAAAUUGUAAUAUUUAAAUAAUAUUAUGAGAAUAGUGUGCAUUUUUUCCAUAUAAGGACAUUGUAAUCUAUUAGCAUAUACCAAAUUUAUCAUAAAAUAUAACUUAUAGUUUAUUCCAAUUAAAUUGCUUGCAUUUUAACACAGAAUAAAUGUUAUUAAUUUGAUAAAGUGCUGAUAGAUUUAUAUGAUUACAGUGCGUUAAUUUUUCGGAAUUAUAUAAUGGCAUAAUUAUCAUUGAUUUUUGUGUUUAUUAUAUGCACUUGUAUGAUUAACAAUGCGAAAGAUUCAGGAUACCUUCGGGACCCGUCUUGAAACACGGACCAAGGAGUCUAACAUAUGUGCAAGUUAUUGGGAUAUAAACCUAAUAGCGUAAUUAACUUGACUAAUAAUGGGAUUAGUUUUUUAGCUAUUUAUAGCUAAUUAACACAAUCCCGGGGCGUUCUAUAUAGUUAUGUAUAAUGUAUAUUUAUAUUAUUUAUGCCUCUAACUGGAACGUACCUUGAGCAUAUAUGCUGUGACCCGAAAGAUGGUGAACUAUACUUGAUCAGGUUGAAGUCAGGGGAAACCCUGAUGGAAGACCGAAACAGUUCUGACGUGCAAAUCGAUUGUCAGAAUUGAGUAUAGGGGCGAAAGACCAAUCGAACCAUCUAGUAGCUGGUUCCUUCCGAAGUUUCCCUCAGGAUAGCUGGUGCAUUUUAAUAUUAUAUAAAAUAAUCUUAUCUGGUAAAGCGAAUGAUUAGAGGCCUUAGGGUCGAAACGAUCUUAACCUAUUCUCAAACUUUAAAUGGGUAAGAACCUUAACUUUCUUGAUAUGAAGUUCAAGGUUAUGAUAUAAUGUGCCCAGUGGGCCACUUUUGGUAAGCAGAACUGGCGCUGUGGGAUGAACCAAACGUAAUGUUACGGUGCCCAAAUUAACAACUCAUGCAGAUACCAUGAAAGGCGUUGGUUGCUUAAAACAGCAGGACGGUGAUCAUGGAAGUCGAAAUCCGCUAAGGAGUGUGUAACAACUCACCUGCCGAAGCAACUAGCCCUUAAAAUGGAUGGCGCUUAAGUUGUAUACCUAUACAUUACCGCUAAAGUAGAUGAUUUAUAUUACUUGUGAUAUAAAUUUUGAAACUUUAGUGAGUAGGAAGGUACAAUGGUAUGCGUAGAAGUGUUUGGCGUAAGCCUGCAUGGAGCUGCCAUUGGUACAGAUCUUGGUGGUAGUAGCAAAUAAUCGAAUGAGACCUUGGAGGACUGAAGUGGAGAAGGGUUUCGUGUGAACAGUGGUUGAUCACGAGUUAGUCGGUCCUAAGUUCAAGGCGAAAGCCGAAAAUUUUCAAGUAAAACAAAAAUGCCUAACUAUAUAAACAAAGCGAAUUAUAAUACACUUGAAUAAUUUUGAACGAAAGGGAAUACGGUUCCAAUUCCGUAACCUGUUGAGUAUCCGUUUGUUAUUAAAUAUGGGCCUCGUGCUCAUCCUGGCAACAGGAACGACCAUAAAGAAGCCGUCGAGAGAUAUCGGAAGAGUUUUCUUUUCUGUUUUAUAGCCGUACUACCAUGGAAGUCUUUCGCAGAGAGAUAUGGUAGAUGGGCUAGAAGAGCAUGACAUAUACUGUUGUGUCGAUAUUUUCUCCUCGGACCUUGAAAAUUUAUGGUGGGGACACGCAAACUUCUCAACAGGCCGUACCAAUAUCCGCAGCUGGUCUCCAAGGUGAAGAGUCUCUAGUCGAUAGAAUAAUGUAGGUAAGGGAAGUCGGCAAAUUAGAUCCGUAACUUCGGGAUAAGGAUUGGCUCUGAAGAUUGAGAUAGUCGGGCUUGAUUGGGAAACAAUAACAUGGUUUAUGUGCUCGUUCUGGGUAAAUAGAGUUUCUAGCAUUUAUGUUAGUUACUUGUUCCCCGGAUAGUUUAGUUACGUAGCCAAUUGUGGAACUUUCUUGCUAAAAUUUUUAAGAAUACUAUUUGGGUUAAACCAAUUAGUUCUUAUUAAUUAUAACGAUUAUCAAUUAACAAUCAAUUCAGAACUGGCACGGACUUGGGGAAUCCGACUGUCUAAUUAAAACAAAGCAUUGUGAUGGCCCUAGCGGGUGUUGACACAAUGUGAUUUCUGCCCAGUGCUCUGAAUGUCAAAGUGAAGAAAUUCAAGUAAGCGCGGGUCAACGGCGGGAGUAACUAUGACUCUCUUAAUUGGAACUACAAGCACAAAUAACGAGCCUCGGAUACCUUUACACAAUCUGAUGACGACCGACCCUCCGUGGAUAUCUUCCGGAGGACCAAUAUGAACCAAACGCAGCGGCUACUCUAUCUAGGGUUCCUGCACAGUAUGUGGCCGGUCCUUUAACAGCAAGAGAGGACUCGGUGUUCA
RNAcentral lists this ribosomal RNA (3392 nucleotides) under Drosophila melanogaster (fruit fly). RNAcentral describes it as "eukaryotic LSU rRNA". The stretch from base 573 to 3392 matches the Rfam family "Eukaryotic large subunit ribosomal RNA", at positions 1 to 2285 of the family's 3401-position model. The record is from RNAcentral. Lineage: Eukaryota; Metazoa; Arthropoda; Insecta; Diptera; Drosophilidae.